RNAcentral lists this ribosomal RNA (164 nucleotides) under Chaetothyriales sp. RNAcentral describes it as "partial large subunit ribosomal RNA". It matches the Rfam family "Eukaryotic large subunit ribosomal RNA", at positions 99 to 261 of the family's 3401-position model. Lineage: Eukaryota; Fungi; Ascomycota; Eurotiomycetes; Chaetothyriales. The record is from RNAcentral.
CGGCAACAGCUCAAAUUUGAAAUCUGGCUCUUUCAGAGUCCGAGUUGUAAUUUGCAGAGGGUGCUUUGGUGGUAGUUGCGGUCUAAGUUCUUUGGAACAGAAUGUCACAGAGGGUGAGAAUCCCGUCUGGAGUUCGGACACGGCCUAUGUGAAGCUCCUUCGAC